This 576-nucleotide ribosomal RNA is filed under the name uncultured bacterium. Its description in RNAcentral is "bacterial SSU rRNA". It matches the Rfam family "Bacterial small subunit ribosomal RNA", at positions 338 to 916 of the family's 1533-position model. The record is from RNAcentral.
CCUACGGGAGGCAGCAGUGAGGAAUAUUGGACAAUGGGCGCAAGCCUGAUCCAGCCAUGCCGCGUGCAGGAUGACGGUCCUAUGGAUUGUAAACUGCUUUUGUACAGGAAGAAACAGUUCUACGUGUAGAACCUUGACGGUACUGUAAGAAUAAGGAUCGGCUAACUCCGUGCCAGCAGCCGCGGUAAUACGGAGGAUCCAAGCGUUAUCCGGAAUCAUUGGGUUUAAAGGGUCCGUAGGCGGUUUAGUAAGUCAGUGGUGAAAGCCCAUCGCUCAACGGUGGAACGGCCAUUGAUACUGCUAAACUUGAAUUAUUAGGAAGUAACUAGAAUAUGUAGUGUAGCGGUGAAAUGCUUAGAGAUUACAUGGAAUACCAAUUGCGAAGGCAGGUUACUACUAAUGGAUUGACGCUGAUGGACGAAAGCGUGGGUAGCGAACAGGAUUAGAUACCCUGGUAGUCCACGCCGUAAACGAUGGAUACUAGCUGUUGGAAGCAAUUUCAGUGGCUAAGCGAAAGUGAUAAGUAUCCCACCUGGGGAGUACGUUCGCAAGAAUGAAACUCAAAUGAAUUGACGG